RNAcentral lists this ribosomal RNA (1186 nucleotides) under metagenome. RNAcentral describes it as "SSU rRNA". It matches the Rfam family "Eukaryotic small subunit ribosomal RNA", at positions 612 to 1823 of the family's 1831-position model. The record is from RNAcentral.
GUUGCGGUUAAAAAGCUCGUAGUUGGAUCUCGGUUUCGGGCGAGCGGUGUACCUUGCGGUAUUUACUGUUUGCCCGGACGAUUUUGUUGGUUCGUUUAUGGUUCUCUUAACCGAGUACCAUAAGUGGCCAGCACGUUUACUUUGAAAAAAUUGGAGUGCUCAAAGCAGGCGCUACAGCCUGAACAUUAGUGCAUGGAAUAUGGAAUAGGAUCUCGGUUCUAUUUCGUUGGCUUUCGGAGUCGAGGUAAUGAUUAAUAGGGACAGACGGGGGCAUUCGUACUGCGACGUUAGAGGUGAAAUUCUUGGAUCGUCGCAAGACGAACUACUGCGAAAGCAUUUGCCAAGAAUGUUUUCAUUAAUCAAGAACGAAAGUUAGAGGUUCGAAGGCGAUCAGAUACCGCCCUAGUUCUAACCAUAAACGAUGUCGACCGGCGAUCCGUUAUCGUUAACUGAAUGACUUAACGGGCAGCCUCCGGGAACCCAGAGUGUUUGGAUUCCGGGGGAAGUAUGGUUGCAAAGCUGAAACUUAAAAGAAUUGACGGAAGGGCACCACCAGGAGUGGAGCCUGCGGCUUAAUUUGACCCAACACGGGAAAUCUCACCAGGCCCGGACACCGGAAGGAUUGACAGAUUGAGAGCUCUUUCUUGAUUCGGUGGGUGGUGGUGCAUGGCCGUUCUUAGUUAGUGGAGCGAUUUGUCUGGUUAAUUCCGAUAACGAACGAGACUCUGGCCUACUAACUAGACGUUAGAUCCCUUUGUGGGUCUAUCGCAGCUUCUUAGAGGGACGGGCGGCGUCUAGCCGCACGAGAUUGAGCAAUAACAGGUCUGUGAUGCCCUUAGAUGUUCUGGGCUGCACGCGCGCUACACUGAAGGAAUCAGCGUGUGUUCCCUACCCGAAAGGGUUGGGAAACCCGUUGAACCUCCUUCGUGAUGGGGAUUGGGGAUUGCAAUUAUUCCCCAUGAACGAGGAAUUCCCAGUAGGCGCGAGUCAUAAGCUUGCGUCGAUUACGUCCCUGCCCUUUGUACACACCGCCCGUCGCUACUACCGAUCGAGUGAUUUAGUGAGGCCUUCGGACUGGUCUUCAGUAUGGCUUUCGGGUCGUGUUGGAGUACCGGAAAGAUGACCAAACUUGAUCACUUAGAGGAAGUAAAAGUCGUAACAAGGUUUCCGUAGGAACCUGCGGAAG